GUCUUAUGUAUCUGGGUGUUAGGAUCGUUAGUUCUUACUGUUGCAUUGAUCCUUUUACCACUUCCUUGAUAUCCUUAUUAAUUUUCUGUCUCAUUGAAUCUAUGUCUCCUAUCUGGGUGUUAGGAUCGUUAGCUCUUGUUGUUGCAUUGAUCCUUUUACCACUAUAUCUUUGUUGCUUUAAAAUCUAUUUUAUCCGAUACAAGAAUUGCAACUCCUGCUUUUUAUUUAUUUAUUAUUUAUUUUUGCUCUCCAUUUGGUUGGUAAAUCUUUCUCCAUCCCUUUGUUUUGAGUCUUUGUGUAUCCUUGCAUGUGAAACAGGUCUUGAUGUAACAUGCCAUUGGGUUUUGGCUGUGUCUUUUGAUUGGGGGAUUUAGUCGAUUUAAAUUUAGGGUUACUGCCAUUUGAACUUAACUGGCUGUUUUAUCCAUUCGUUGAUGUAAAUUCUUCUUUGUGUUGGUGCUCUUUACUUUUUGGUAUAUUUUUAGAAAGGCUAAUACUGGUUGUUUCUUUCUGUGUGUAAUGCUUCUUUCAGAAGCUGUUGUAAAGCAGGCCUGAUGGUAAUAAAAUCUCUGAGUACUUGUUCAUAAGAUAUUUUAUUUUUCCUUCAGUUGUGAAUCUUAGUUUGGCUGGAUAUGGAAUUCUGGGCUGAAGGUUCUUUUCUUUGAGGAUGUUGAAUAUUGGCCCCCACUCUCUUCUGGCCUAUAGAGUUUCUGCUGAGAGAUCUGCUGUAAGUCUGAUAGGCUUGCCUUUGUGGGUAACCUGACCUCCCUCUCUGGCUCCCUUAGUAUUUUCUCCUUCGUUUCAACCCUGGUGAAUCUAACGAUUAUGUGCCUUGGGGUUGCUCUUCUUGAGGAAUAUCUUUGUGGUGUUCUCUGUAUUACCUGGGGUUGAAUGUUGACCUGCUUUGCUAGUUUAGGAAAAUUUUCCUGAAUAAUAUCCUGAAGGGUAUUUUCCAGCUUGGAUUCAUUCUCUCCGUCGCAUUCAGGUACACCUAUCAAACGUAAAUUUGGUCUUUUCACAUAGUCCCACAUUUCUUGGAGACUUUGCUCAUUCCUUUUUAUCCUUUUUUCUCUAAUCUUUUCUUCACGUUUUAUUUCAUUAAGUUGGACUUUGACCUCUGAUAUCCCUUCUUCUGCUUGAACAAUUCGAGUGUUUAAACCCGUGCAUACUUCUCGGAGUUCCUGUAUUGUAUUCUUCAGUUCCAUUAAUUCACUCAUACUCCUCUCUAAGUUGUCUAUUCUCAAUAGGAUUUCAUCAAACCUUUUUUCAAAGUUCCUAGUUUCUUUACGUUGGGCUACAACAUGGUCUUUUAACUCACCGAAGUUUGUUAUUAUCCAUUCCUUGAAGAGUGAUUCUGUCAUUGGGAUGCGCUCGUUCUCCAUCAAGCCUUGUUCCAUUGUUGAUGUGGAACUGUGAUCAUCUUUAGAGGGAGAGGUGUUCUGACUUUGAGUAUUCUCAGCUUUUUUAUGCUGGUUUCUUCCCAUCAUUGUAAAUUUAUCCUCCUGUCGUCUUUGAAAUUACCAACUUUCAGAUUAGGUCUCUUGAGUAGACGUCCAGGUUGUUAGUUCCCAGGGCCAGAGCAGCGGCGUUAAAACUGAUGGUGCUUUUCUGCCCAGGAUUCUCCUGUCAGGCUUCCUUCUUGUGUCCGUAGUAGGCGACUCUGCCUUCCCGGGGCUCCAAACCUCGGUCAGAAGGGGAACCGGUCCUGUUUACUCUGCGCCAAGCGCUGCCGCGUUGAGGUGCCGGCGGAGCCGCUGCGCCGACCAUGAGAGUCACGCUGGCGACUCCUGUGUUUCCACCACUGGGGUAUCUUCUGCUCCGUGAGCGACCAGACUUUGUCUGAAAGUGUGGCGUCCUCUAGUUCUCCACGCCUUCCCUGAGAGCUGCAAUCCUGGGAUGUUAGCGAUCGGCCAUCUUGGAUCGUUCUCCAAUCUCAAUUCUUUAUGUAUCUCACUACUCCUCAAAAUCGGCUCAUGAAUACUUUUGUUUUUACAUGUCUUGCCCUCUUUCCUCUAUUAGAUAUUAAAGUCCCUAUCAAUAUUUAAGAAAUAUCAAUCAUCUACUGUGCAUCAAAGUCCAUUU
Molecule: long non-coding RNA, 2082 nt
Filed under: Callithrix jacchus (white-tufted-ear marmoset)
Lineage: Eukaryota; Metazoa; Chordata; Mammalia; Primates; Cebidae
Description: lncRNA (ENSCJAG00000086442.1)
Source: RNAcentral